This 472-nucleotide ribosomal RNA is filed under the name uncultured Pelotomaculum sp. RNAcentral's name for it is "bacterial SSU rRNA". It matches the Rfam family "Bacterial small subunit ribosomal RNA", at positions 916 to 1381 of the family's 1533-position model. The record is from RNAcentral. Lineage: Bacteria; Bacillati; Bacillota; Clostridia; Eubacteriales; Desulfotomaculaceae.
GACGGGGCCCGCACAAGCGGUGGAGCAUGUGGUUUAAUUCGACGCUACGCGAAGAACCUUACCAGGGCUUGACAUCCCCUGACCGCGUAUGAAAGUACGUUUUCACCCUCGGGUGACAGGGAGACAGGUGGUGCAUGGUUGUCGUCAGCUCGUGUCGUGAGAUGUUGGGUUAAGUCCCGCAACGAGCGCAACCCCUACGUUUAGUUGCUAACGCGUGAAGGCGAGCACUCUAGACGAACUGCCGUUGACAAAACGGAGGAAGGUGGGAUGACGUCAAAUCAUCAUGCCCCUUAUGUUCUGGGCUACACACGUGCUACAAUGGCCGGUACAGACGGAGGCGAAGCCGCGAGGCGGAGCAAAUCCGAAAAAGCCGGUCUCAGUUCGGAUUGCAGGCUGCAAUUCGCCUGCAUGAAGUCGGAAUCGCUAGUAAUCGCAGGUCAGCAUACUGCGGUCGAAUACGUUCCCGGGCCUU